CACUCUAGCGAGACUGCCGGUAAUAAACCGGAGGAAGGUCGGGGAUGACGUCAAAUCAUCAUGCCCCUUAUGACCUGGGCUACACACGUGCUACAAUGGUUGGUACAACGAGUUGCGAGUCGGUGACGGCGAGCUAAUCUCUUAAAGCCAAUCUCAGUUCGGAUUGUAGGCUGCAACUCGCCUACAUGAAGUCGGAAUCGCUAGUAAUCGCGGAUCAGCACGCCGCGGUGAAUACGUUCCCGGGCCUU
This 248-nucleotide ribosomal RNA is filed under the name uncultured Streptococcus sp. RNAcentral's name for it is "partial 16S ribosomal RNA". It matches the Rfam family "Bacterial small subunit ribosomal RNA", at positions 1136 to 1382 of the family's 1533-position model. The record is from RNAcentral. Lineage: Bacteria; Bacillati; Bacillota; Bacilli; Lactobacillales; Streptococcaceae.